UCUGGGGGAUGCCUUUAUGCUUUUGACAGGUGUCACAGAGCAGAGAAGCCAAGUUUUCUUUGCUAAAACUUUCAGGACUUCUGAACUGUGAAACAUUCUAGCCUAUCAACCUCUGAAGAUAAAGACCAUCCAAAACAGCAGCACCAGGUCGGCACUGCGCAAGGCUAUGGCAACUGUGUGUCUGAGCGGGUGCACGGGGAGAGGAGCGUAGGCUACAAUUAACUUCCUGCUCAGAAAAGUCGAGGCUAACAUAUCUCUGUGCGGAAUAAUACUAACCAAACUUUUAAAUUAUCGAAUCACCAAGCCAUUAUAGGCCAACGCUACGGAAUAUGGGUUUUCAUACCUUUGUAUUAUAGGCCUACCCGAUGGUUCGCAAUUGUAACUUGGUUCAAACUGCAUGCAUGAGAAUUAAAACUGGAGGAAUCUAUCAAUUCUACAUUUGUAUGCGGAUGCAUAACUAACAAGCCACAGUUGUCGACUCUUUAGUGUCGCAUUAACCAGCAGGGGGACAGUCACAGCAUCAGUAGAGCUGUAGAGAGACUCAGUCAAACUCAAGUGUGGUCAGCAAUAACGCGGGUCAUUGCCUUUCACAAGUUGAAAUGACCAGCACAGUCAAGCUCCCAAAGCCUUGCGCUUACGCUCAGUAGACACCUCAGAGGUAAGUGGAAAUUCCGAAUUCUGUAUGGUUACAAUUCGAGUAAAUGUUUUGAAUAACAGUAGCGUAUAGCCAUCUUUGAAUUAUAGUAGCCGGACCCAACUGUCUCCACUCAUUUCCUUCUUAUUGGCUUAAUGGCUGCCUGAAAAGCAAAGAGCUGACUUUCUCUGAAGAUAUUUGAAAUAUGCAAUUCUGUAAAGUGUAUUUCUUUUAUAUGAAUGAAGACAUGAACGAACCAUAUAUGUCUGAAACUGCACCUUUUAUGCACUCAUGGUUCAUCUCAUGGAGUGUAUCCCAAGUCCUCCCUGUAAAAAGCCUAAAUAUGUGUACAUUGUUAUUGAAUUGAUAUGUAUGGUCCAGUUCUCUCUGAAGAAUGGUCUUUUGUAGAUGUCCUUCACUUUCAUUCCUACAUGGCAUAUGUAUCUUUAAUUAUAAAUACCACUUUCUUCUUGCUUUGUAAGUUAGAUUUAAGAUGGGCCUAUGUUUACUGUCUAACAUUUUCAAGUAUUACCACAAGUCUCUUACUGAAAGAUAAUAGGCUUUCUAAAAAGGAAAGAAAAAAGAAAAACAUGUUCCCAUUAAUAACGCUUUCAAAUGCCAGUAGCCCUGGUGCGUUGGGUCCAUCCGCGG
This is a long non-coding RNA of Clupea harengus (Atlantic herring), 1285 nucleotides long. The record is from Ensembl. NCBI's taxonomy places the organism in Eukaryota, Metazoa, Chordata, Actinopteri, Clupeiformes, Clupeidae.